Ceratotherium simum simum (southern white rhinoceros) is the source of this 351-nucleotide non-coding RNA. NCBI's taxonomy places the organism in Eukaryota, Metazoa, Chordata, Mammalia, Perissodactyla, Rhinocerotidae. The record is from the annotation of a RefSeq genome assembly.
AUGGGAGGAACCAGAGCCCAGUCAGUGACCCAGCCUGAUGACCACACCGCUGUCUCUGAAGGAGACCCUCUCGAGCUGAGGUGCAACUAUACCUAUGGUGGGGCUGUGUAUCUCUUCUGGUACGUCCAGUACCCCAGCCAAGGCCUCCAGCUUCUCCUCAAGUACUUAUCAGGGGCCACCCUGGUUAAAGGCAUCAAAGGUUUCCAGGCUGAAUUUAAGAAGAGUGAUACCUCCUUCCAUCUGUGGAAACAAUCAGCCCAUUUGAGUGACUCGGCCGAGUACUUCUGUGCUCUGAGUGACACAGUGACUGAGACUGCAGGGGGAGCUGAACACAAACCUCCUGAGACAUGA